Oncorhynchus keta (chum salmon) is the source of this 14787-nucleotide long non-coding RNA. RefSeq lists it as uncharacterized. NCBI's taxonomy places the organism in Eukaryota, Metazoa, Chordata, Actinopteri, Salmoniformes, Salmonidae. The record is from RefSeq and is a predicted model, not a curated record. The transcript is spliced from 3 exons.
GCUAACAUUUUCCGGUGGGAAAGAGAAAUUGACCUGUAUUUACAAGAAAAGCUAUCUAUCUCAUCCACCAUGGCAGAAGAAGAAGAUCCAGACUGUUGAUUGGGAAACGAGAACAAAUUAUGAGCCAUGAGGAUUGGGUGUUGAGCGACCACUUGUCACAUUGUCCAAGGUGGAUGGAAAUGGACAUCCUGUGCCAGUGUGAUCUGAACGCAAGCGUCCCUUUUAUUUGAUUUAUUUUAUCUUUAUUUAACUAUUCAAGUCAGUUAAGAACAAAUUCUUAUUUACAAUGACGGCCUACCCCAGCCAAACACUAACCCGGACGACGCUGAAUUGUGCACCGCCCUAUGGGACUCCCAAUCACGGCCGGUUGUGAUACAGCCUGGAAUAUAACCAUGGUCUGUGGUGACGCCUCUAACACUGAGAUGCAGUGCAUUAGACCGCAGCGCCACUCACUGUAGAAUACUAGGUUGACCCAAGUAUGAAAAAUGACUGCAGCUGGUAAAUUGAGAAAGUUGAUCAUAAAGUUACUAGUCCCCCCCCCAUGUCAAACGCCGGAUAUGUUAUAAACCAAUGGUAGCAUCAUAUAAUCGUAACUAAUAUAAUUCUGGAACGCAUUAAAACCAUCAUCACAUGUGCGCGUCUUACAGUUUUAUUUUACAACCCAUAAAAUAGCACGAGUGGUAUCUGUUGGAAAAAAGUUUGGAUGUUGCCACACACAUACCUACUUGUUAACAAAAUUAAGGAAGUUUCCUUUAAAAUUAUUCAUAAAUAUUAUCCUGCCAACCACUAUAUGAAGAAGUUUAAGGAAAACAUCAACUCAAAUUGCUCCUUUUGUAAUGACCACCCAGAAACAGUUGUGCAUCUUUUUGGCAUUGUAUGCAUGUAAGAAAACUGUGGCAAGACAUCAGUAGGUUUAUAAUUGAACACAUUUAUGAAGAUUUUACACUAUUGUGGAGAGAUGUACUGUUUGGAUUCUUUACAUACAAUAGAAAUAAGCGGAAUCAUUUUUAUGUAAUUAAUUUCAUUAUUCUUUUGGCCAAAUUUCAUAUACACAAAUGUACAUUUACAAACAGAAAACCACAUUGUCGUACCCUACAAAAAGAAAUCGAACUGUAUUUUAAGACGGUUAAAUGCUCUACUAACAAAAAAGCUGUUAGAAUUGUAAGUAUAUGCAUGUCCCUUAAGGUCCUUGUGUAAUUGUAAUGUGAUAUUGUACCCCCUAGCUCGAUUGUCUAUUGUUUGUAAUCUAUGUAUGCUUGUGUUCCCUCAUGUGCUUUAUGUGUCGAUUUGAUAUUAAUAAAAUAAUAAUAAUAAAAAAUAGCACGAGUGGCACAAGGUAUUGCUGUGCCACGAGAGAUUUUGGGUUCGAGUCCUAACUGUCGCAGGCGGCGCACAAUUGGCACAGCUUUGUCCGGGUUAGUGGAGGGCUUGGCCGGGAGGGAUAUCCUUGUCCCAUCGGGCACUAGCGACUCCUGUUUGCGGAUUGGACGCAGUGGACGCUGACACGUUCCAGGUGUACGGUGUUUCCUCCUCCGGCUGGCUUCCGGGUUAAGUGGGCAUCGUGUCAAGAAGAAGCAGCGCGGUUGUGGACUGUAACUACCAAUUGGAUGAAGGGGUUAAAAAAAGACGAUAGUUACCAGCAUCUUUCAGCCUUUUCAUUCGUGUUGUGACUUUUAGCUAGCAAGCUAAUUUACUUACCAGCAUGCGCGAAAAAGCACACUGUGUUUUGACCGGAUGCCAUAGUGUUAAUUUAACGGUACACUAUUUUAGAAGAAUGAACACAUCCGACAUCAGUGGCUGUUUUUUCUCUUCGGGUGGACAGGCUACACCGAAAAUUGGGAUUAUGUAUGUGAGUACUGUGCGCAUUUCGAGCGAAAUUCCGAUGGGAACAUCCGAUGGGUCUUGCCAGGAAGCUAAUCCUGAAGACGGCUGCAGUACCAUCAUUGACACUUCCCACCAGGAUAUGUGAAAAAGUGCGAAGUAUGAUUGACUUAAUAUUGGUGUCUGAUAAAUCUAAAAUAUCGCAGAUUGUAGUAAUAGUAUAUGGAAUCCGUGAUCAUUUUAUUACAUUUUGCACAAGGAUUUUUAAAUAUAUAUGUAUGUGUCACAAAACCGUUAGAAUCAGAGGACUCAACAUACUGUGUUGAAAAGUUUAGGGAGGAAGAGGGUCAAAUUGAUUGGUCACCUGUGCUAGAUAGUGUAGCAGUAGACAGUGCCUGAGAAGUAUUUUUAAAUGUAGAUUCCUUGAUGUGGUGAAUGUGACGGCUUCUAUUAGAUGGGUCAGGAUAAAGCAGAGAUCUAUCCCUUGGUUUAAUCAUGAGAUUCUAAAAUAUAUCCAAGAUAUAUGAACUGUAAGAACUCUCAAGAGCAGCAAGCUUUGGAAAUCAUUUUAAUGAACUAGGCUGUAGUAGUACUACCAAAAACAAACUAAACAGCAUUGGAUUGAAUGUCAAGGGGGAGGUGGUAUAUGAAAAAGCAGAGGUUACCAAUGAAACUCUUCUAUUUUUUUUAAAAUUACUUAUGUUGCCAGCAAGCUGGUUAGCAAGCAGCCUACAAGUUCUGGUUUGUAUGGAAGCAACCAAGUGAAGAAGUAUUAUGUAAAGUUAGGGGUUCAGCCAAACACUUUUUCUUUUGCAAAGGUAGCAACAGCCAAAAUAAUCCGUAUCCUGGCAGAGUUUAAAUGCUCCCAAGCCACAGGCCUGGAUAAUAUUACUGCAAGGUUUCUUAUAGAUUCUGCUGAGCAAAUUGGCCCUCAUAUUACGUAUAUCGUUAAUCUCUCUUGAACAAGGCACCUUUCCCAGGGACAUGAAACAAGCUAAAGUUAUACCUCUGUAUAAGUAGGGGCUAAAGUUUGACCCUGGGAAUUAUAGGCCUGUAUCUAUCUUCUGUGUAACAUCAAAGAUUCUGGAGAGAGUUGUACAUGAGCAAAUUUAUGAAUAUGUUAACAAACAGCGUCUAAUGUAUGAUUUUCAGUCGGGUUUUAGAAAAACAUACUCCACUGAUUGUCUACUUUACGUGACUGACUUCAGCAGGAAAGAGAUUCAUGAUGGAAAUCUGUGGAAUGGGACUACAUGACCUACAGCAGGCAUUUGAUACAGCAGGCAUUUGAUACAGUUAACCACUGUCUCCUAAUCUCCAAAUUGGAAGCACUGGGGUUAAGCAGUAUCCGUCUAGGCUGGGUAAAGUCCUAUUUAUUAGGAAGGGAGCAAGUAAUAGAGUUAAUGGUUCACUGUCUCAGGCAAAACCAAUGAGUUGUGGUGUUCCGGAGGGGAGCAUGCUUGGGCCUUUGCUGUUUUUAUUGUAUAUUAAUGAUAUGAAAGAUGCUUGUUCUUGCUGUAUUUUUCUUUAUGUGGCAGACUCUACACUUCUGGUGUCUUACAAAAGUAAAACUAUUAUGUUGGAGAGCAUACAGAACUUACUACCAUUAGCAAAUGGCUUGGAGAUAAAAAAGCUAUCUCUGCACUUAUAGAAAACUGAAGCAGUUAUUUUUGGAUCCAGACCUAAAUUGUGUAGUUUGUCUGAAAUCAGAGUGGAGUUAGGGGGUGAGGUGUUAACAGAGGUUUUAGUAGUCAACUACUUGGGAUGUAUCCUUGAUGGAAGCUUGGGAGGUGUGAGCAUGGCCAAUAAGGUGCUAGGGAAGGUUAACCUCUCUAGGGUACGUGGGACGGUAGCUGUCAACAGCCAGUGAAACUGCAGGGCGCCAAAUUCGAAACAACAGAAAACCCAUAAUUAAAAUUCCUCAUGUAUUUUACACCAUUUUUAAAGAUACAUUUGUUGUAAAUCCAGCCACAGUGUCCGAUUUCAAAAAGGCUUUACGACGAAAGAAAACCGAACGAUUAUGUUAGGCCAGAGCCAUGUCAAAUGAUGUAUAUCUAAUAAUAAUAAAAAAUAAGAUAUAUUAUCUUCAAUAAUGUUCCAACCGGAGAAUUCCUUUUUCUUCAGAAAUGCAAUGGAAUGCAGGUCGCUCUCACGUGAACAAACAAGGUUCUAAAGACUGUUGACAUCUAGUGGAAGCCUAAGGAAGUGCAACAUGACCCCAUAGACACUUUUCGAUAGGGCAAGAGUCGAAAACCAAAACCCUCAGAUUUCCCACUUCCUGGUUGGAUUUUUUCUCAGGUUUUUGCCUGCCAUAUGAGUUCUGUUAUACUCACAGAUAUCAUUCAAACAGUUUUAGAAACUUCAGUGUUCUCUAUCCAAAUCUACUAAUUAUAUGCAUAUUCUAUUUAUGGCAGAGUAGCAGGCAGUUUAAUUUGGGCACACUUUCCAUCCAAAAUUCCCAAUGCUGCCCCCUACCCUAGAGAAUUUAAUACCAGGACUAAGUUUUUGGCUCGAAAGUCCAAGCUGCUUGAUAAGGAUUCCAUGAGGACUCCAUGAAAGUGAUAGCUACUGCCCCCAUUCAAUACAAUUUGACUAUACUAGUACUUCCUGGUUUGGGGGCUUAUCUAAACGUAUGAAGGGGAAGCUCCAGAUAGCCCAGAAUAAGCUGAACAUGGUAGUAUUGAAGGAGUCCAUAUACUCGUAUAGGCAGGAGCUGCUUCCAGGAACUAAACUGGCUGCCUGUUGAGGCUAGGAUGUCCCAGUUUAGACUAGGUUUGGUUUACAGGAGUAUUUAUGGUCCUGCGCCCAGAUUUCUAAGUGAUUACUUUCCCCGUGUUAGGGAUGCACACAAUCACUGCAUCAGAUCAAACAAUGCCACUUAAUAUAAUGUUUACAUACCCUACAUUACUCAUCUCAUAUGUAUAUACUGUACUCUAUAUCAUCUACUGCAUCUUGCCAUCCUUAUGUAAUACAUGUAUCACUAGCCACUUGAAACUAUGCCACUUUUAUACACUGCUCAAAAAAAUAAAGGGAACACUAAAAUAACACAUCCUAGAUCUGAAUGAAUGAAAUAUUCUUCUUAAAUACUUUUUUAUUUACAUAGUUGAAUGUGCUGACAACAAAAUCACACAAAUUAUCAAUGGAAAUCAAAUGUAUCAACCCAUGGAGGUCUGGAUUUGGAGUCGCACUCAAAAUUAAAGUGGAAAACCACACUACAGGCUGAUCCAACUUUGAUGUAAUGUCCUUAAAACAAGUCAAAAUGAGGCUCAGUAGUGUGUGUGGCCUCCACAAGCCUGUAUGACCUCCCUACAAUGCCUGGGCAUGCUCCUGAUGAGGUGGCGGAUGGUCUCCUGAGGGAUCUCCUCCCAGACCUGGACUAAAGCAUCCGCCAACUCCUGGACAGUCUGUGGUGCAACGUGGUGGUGUUGGUGGAUGGAGCAAGACAUGAUGUCCCAGAUGUGCUCAAUUGGAUUCAGGUCUGGGGAACGGGUGGGCCAGUGCAUAGCAUCAAUGCCUUCCUCUUGCAGGAACUGCUGACACACUCCAGCCACAUGAGGUCUAGCAUUGUCUUGCAUUAGGAUGAACCCAGGGCCAACCGCACCAGCAUAUGGUCUCACAAGGGGUCUGAGGAUCUCAUCUCAGUACCUAAUGGCAGUCAGGCUACCUCUGGCGAGCACAUGGCCCCCCAAAGAAAUGCCACUCCACACCUCCUACGGCCUCCUCCACGUCUCCUGAUGUACUGGCCUGUCUCCUGGUAGCGCCUCCAUGCUCUGGACACUACGCUGACAGACACAGCAAACCUUCUUGCCACAGCUCGCAUUGAUGUACCAUCCUAGAUGAGCUGCACUGCCUGAGCCACUUGUGUGGGUUGUAGACUCUGUCUCAUGUUACCACUAGAGUGAAAGCAGCACCAGCAUUCAAAAGUGACCAAAACAUCAGCCAGUAAGCAUAGGAACUGAGAAGUGGUCUGUGGUCACCACCUGCAGAACCACUCCUUUAUUGGGGGUGUCUUGCUAAUUGCCUAUAAUUUCCACCUGUUGUCUAUUCCAUUUGCACAACAGCAUGUGAAAUUUAUUGUCAAUCAGUGUUGCUUCCUAAGUGGACAGUUUGAUUUCACAGAAGUGUGAUUGACUUGGAGUUGCAUUGUGUUGUUUGUGUUCCCUUUAUUUUUUUGAGAAGUGUAUUUACAUACCCUACAUUACUCAUCUCAUAUGUAUAUACUGUACUCGAUACCAUCUACUGCAUCUUGCCUAUGCCGUUCUGUACCAUCACUCAUUCAUAUAUCUUUAUGGACAUAUUCUUUAUCCCUUUACACUUGUGUGUGUAUAAGGUAGUAGUUGUGGAAUUGUUAGGUUAGAUUACUCGUUGGUUAUUACUGCAUUGUCGGAACGAGAAGCACAAGCAUUUUGCUACACUCGCAUUAACAUCUGCUAACCACGUGUAUGUGACAAAUAAAGUUUGAUUUGAGAUCAGGUGUUGCUGAUGUGUGCUUAUACAGGUUCAGGAGUAAUGCAGAGAAAGGUACUUUCUUGUAUACUGGAGCCUCAGAAUGGAAUGAGUUGCCUCUGCCCAUAAAAACAAUGUUCCUCUCUGGGCAGCUUUAAAAAUAAAGUAAAAAUAUGUUUGUCUUCUGUACCCAUAUGAAUAACCCCUAUGAUGUAACUGGAAUGAUGAGAGAUGUUCUUCUGUUUUAUUAUUUCACUGCCAUACUGUGUUCCAUCUUGUCUCAAGAGAACCACAAUGGAAAUAAGUCCCAGACUUUAUUGUGUGUUAUCCUCAAUGAUUUUAUUCAUGUGCAUGUAUGGCUUUUUCAAGUUUUGUGUGCUUGUUUUUUUUAAAUGGUUGAAUUAUUAAACUAAACUAAAAAAGUGGAUCUUGCAAGCGUUGAUCAUAAUAAGUAUCAGUUUGAUGAGUCUGACACUGUGGCUGUUUUAAUUUCUGAACGCUAUAUUUUCUGUAACACACCUGAUAGUCAUUAUGUUUUUUGUUCAUCCAUCCCUAAAGUACUGCGUGGUCAAGCUGACGUCUGCAUUUGCCAUGCAGUAUUUAUCUUGAUAUGGACACUGCAGAAGUCACGGCAUUCAUGGUUUUUGCUCUUCGUGGAGCAGAGCAGUUGUCAAGGAAGUGAGUUUGUUUGUACAGGACCUCCCACCCCCACCUAUUGUCAACCAAUCAUGUCAAUGCGGAGCUAUACGGAGCCCUCCGCAUUGUUACAACAUUUGGGAGGCGCACAGCGAUGCUGCAGAAUUAUGCCUUUGCGUGCUUCUGGAGGAUCCGCAAUUGCGUCACACCCUCCAUACAAAGCCUUCCACCACAUUUUAGAAUCAACCAUGAGUUGGCUUGAAGCAUCCUCGGUCGAACUGCCAGCACACAGCUGACACGAAGUAAUGUCGUCCGCAAAAGGAGUUUCCCAGGCAACCACCGGCAGCAGAAAUGCUGUGAUACAAAAUCAGCUUUCCCUUGGGGAUAUGCUGUGAAGCUUGUGAAGACAGACCAAAGGGGGAUUUGCUGUGAAGACAGACACAACAUACUGCAAUGGGGAUGACUGAAGCAAAAGUGGGUGACUGAAGCCUGCUUGAUUGAAACGGGGUUUAUGGGUCCCACUCCCCUCCGCAUCAAUCUCUGUAGUUGGUUGCAUUUCCUAAAGCUUAAGUAAUUCAUGUGAUAUCCAAUUUUGUCACUUUUUAUAUAUAUAUUUUUGCAUUUGGAUGGGAAAUUAGUUUGACUGCACAGUGUAGGCCGGGCCAGGUGCCUAUAUUAGGCUUACUGCUCUAAUAUAUAUUUUUUAUGUCAUGUUUCACUGUUAUUUCUCAAUAUUUUGACUAUGCUGGCCUAUUUUUAAAUGAUCAAAUACAUGUCUGAUCAACACAUACAAUUCUGAACGUAGUCAUAAUGCCAAUGCAGAGUCACCAAUCAUGGGCCAUGACGAUGUUAUGUCCUCGUCAGAGCUGUCCAAGCACACGCGAAGACAGCGUAACAGACAGAGGUGGAAAAAAACUAAGUAGCUGCAAAGAGCCAAGUUUGUUCAUCAAUCACAUUUUUAUUUGUCACGUGUUAUAAACGAGAACUUCACUCUUCAACUCUCAUUUUAUCCCUUAUAUUAAUAGACUCAAUUUGUGGAUAAAUCCCAAGCUUGUCCAUGCUUAAAGGCAAAUGUAUUAAUAUAAUGUAAUAUAAGGCAAGUUAAGAAACAUCUGUAUGAAACAUCUGUAGUCUUUUUUUCAUAAAACAAGACAAUAUUGUCAUUGUCAUUUUGAACGUUGUGAUCUCUGUUUAAACAGUGCAUUGCAUUUUGUCCUAAAAUAUGUUCUGGGUCAAAGAAGAUAAUUUAUUUUCUGAGGAAUGUUAGGUGUGUGGUGGGAAGCUUAACAAUAGUUAUGUUUUAUGAAGGGUUUUGACGGCUUGAACGUUUUUCUUUUUUUGUUGUCUAUGGUCCUCUCUGAGCGCUGUAAGCAAGCUGGAAUCACUAAUAACCAUCUUGAUCCCAAACAUAUAAAACAGUUAGCAGAUAAAAGUUCACAGCAUGCCAUGGCCACUCAUUAUUUGCUGAGGAAGUGGUGGUGUCGUCUAUGAAGACUAUAGACUCUGUUCUGCAGCAGGGUCUUCCCGUUCUGUGUUGUUUGGGCCUGUGGUCAGGUUUGUAUUUGAGAAGCAGGCUGCGAGGCAAAGCAAAACAGCACUGUCUGAACAAAAUAGAGGCAAACUAGUCCUUGUGCCGUCCACCCCUUUUGUCACUGUGAAGACACACACACACACACACACACACACACACACACACACACACACAAGGCAGUUCAGUCUUCAGUGUCAAUGACUACAGCAUAAUGGCCUUUAAGUUAUUGAGUCGAGUCCAAAUUGGCAAAUAUAAAGAAAGGUGACAGAAGCCUGUAAGAUCCUAAAUGUAACUAGACUUGCAGUUAUACAGUGCCCCCUUCUGGACAAAACAAAACAUGAUGAGGGAUGGUGCACUAGAAGAAUCACAAAACUAUUUGGUAAAAUCAACAGUAUCUCUAUUACUGCUUUCCUUUUCAUAGGAGUUACGGUAUUUAGCCUGUAAUUUUUGGGGGGCAAUGUUUAUAUUACCCUCUUACAAACAGACCCAUUUUUACCACAUUCUCAUCUACAUACACCAUUUAUACCUCCCGUGCACAUGCCGGGAUGCCGGGGACGAGUGGUAGUAGUGGUGUGCGUCUAUUUUAAUAAAUCCAUUGAGAAUAUACACAAUUAAAAAUAAAUCCAUUAUUAUUAAAAUCAACAUAAGACUAACACAAUUUGGAGUUUGCCAAAAGGCACCUAAAGGACUCUCAGACCUUGAGAAACAAGAUUCUCUGGUCUGAUGAAACCAAGAUUGAACUCUUUGACCUGAAUGCCAAGCAUCACGUCUGGAGGCAAUCUGGCACCAUCCCUACGGUGAAGCAUGGUGGUGGGAAUGUUUUUCAUAGGCAGGGACUGGAAGACUAGUCAGAAUUGAGGGAAAGAUGAAAGGAGCAAAGUACAGAGAGAUCCUUGAUGAAAACCUGCUCAGGACCUCAGACUGGAACUAAGGUUCACAUUCCACCAGGACAACGACCCUAAACACACACUGUCAAGACAAUGCAGGAGUGGUUUCGGGGCAAGUCUGUUUCCAUUGAUCAUUUUUGGAGAGACCUGAAAAUAGCUGUGCAGUAUCACUCCCCAUCCAAGCUGACAGAGCUUGAGAGGAUCUACAGAAAAGAAUGGGAGAAACUCCCCAAAUACAGUUGUGCAAAGCUUGUAGCAUCAUACCCAAUUAGACUUGAGGCUGUAAUUGCUGCCAAAAGUGCAUCAACAAAGUACUGAGUAAAGGGUCUGAAUACUUAUGUAAAUGUAAUAGUUUUUUAAAUGUUGUAUACAUUUGCAAAUAUUUCUAAACCUGUUUUUACUUUAUCAUUAUGUGGUAUUGUGUGUAGAUUGAGGAUUAUUUUGUAUUUAUUUUUAAUCCAUUUUAGAAUAAGGCUGUAAUGUUACGAAAUGUGAAAAGUCAAUGGGUCUGAAUACUUUUCAAAGGCACUGUAGGCCUAUAUAUCAAUCUUGAACAGGAUGAUCUAUAUUGGAUGCCAUUUGAAUGGAAUUGAUGGAGAGAAAGACAGAGUGGUCACUUGUGCACUGAUUUAAAGCAACAAUAUAGUGUUUUUGAAACUCAGCAGCUGUAAUAAAAAAUAAAAAAUCUUUACAAUUAAAAAAAACAAGGUGAUCCUCAAAAGCCUGGUGGAGAUGUCUAUAUUAGACAUGCAUUCAAUCUCUUACUGUAGCAUAGGCUAUGUUGCAGCAAAUGUAGGUCUACCUGUCACAAUAAAAAAAAGUUACCAUGAUGAGAUGAUAAGUCUACAUACUGCGAUGGGCUGUUGGUCCCCACCCUGGGCGUUGAUGCUUCAUCAUGCAGUGACCAGAAAGAUGGCCGUAGAGAAUCCAGAUUUAGACAUUGCAAAUAAUUUAACAGUUCAAUUUCACAUCAUGCUGUUCAUAAAAAUAAUUUAUUAUAAUGUACCAGUUUCUCGCAGUUAUUUAUCCUGGGAAAAGGGAGUGGAUUUGGGUGGUAAAUCUUGGUAACCGGGUUCCUGCCAUUCAACCCUCUACAUUGUUUUUAAAAGGUAUCUGUGACCAACAGAUGCAUAUCUGUAUUCCCAGUCAUGUGAAAUCCAUAAUUAGGGCCUAAUUAUAAUUUUUUAAUUGAUUGAUUUCCUUUAACUCAGUAAAAUCUUUGAAAUUGUUGCAUUUAUAUUUUUGUUCAGUGUAGAUGUGGUGUGGAUAUUAAAAUAUAAAACCUACACUAGAUAACCAGGCUACCAACAUGCAUAUUGCAUCCAAGUCACCCGUUCCACAGAUUUUUGAAAUGGACUUUGAACAAGAUACUGCAUUAUCUAUAGGGCUAUCUUUGGCUGAUUAAUAGGCCUAGUAAGAUAAAUGUCAAUGGCUACAAGAAUAUCAUUACCUUUUCACUAUGCAGCAGAACUCUAGUUACCCACUCAACCUGGACUCAGAGCAUUUUGUAUUAUUCUGUACGCAAAUCCGAGAUCCUCCAUUUAGUAUGUUACAUUUGGUAUGGUUACAUGAGACAGAUGGUUAAUUAAGGCAAAAAUGAAAGUAGGUGGUUAGUCGGGGUGGAUGGGGGUUGCGAAUUCAAAUCUCAUCACAGACAACUUUAGCAACUUUUCAACUACUUGCUACUUUGCAUGUUAGCUAACCCUUCCCCUAACCCUUUUAAAUCUAACUCCUAAACUUAACCCCUAGCCUAGCUAGCGUUAGCAAGCUAGCUAGAAUUCAUAACAUAAUACGUUUUGAUAAUUUGUAACGUAUUAUACAUUUUGCAAAUUCAUAACAUAUAGUGGUCCUUCUGUAGCUCAGUUGGUAGAGCAUGGCGCUUGUAACGCCAGGGUAGUGGGUUCGAUCCCCGGGACCACCCAUACGUAGAAUGUAUGCACACAUGACUGUAAGUCGCUUUGGAUAAAAGCGUCUGCUAAAUGGCAUAUAUUAUUAUUUAUAUUAUAUUGUACGUUUCGAAAUUCGUACCAUAUUAUACGAAUUCUAAUAUAUCAUACGAAAUGUUUAUUUUAUUAAUUUAUUUUACCUUUAUAUUACCAGAUACGUUGACUGAGAACACACUCAUUUACAGCAACAUCCUGGGGAAUAUUUACGGGGAGAUGAAUGAGCCAAUUGGAAGCUGGGGAUGAUUAGGUGGCCAUAAUUGUAUGAGGACCAGAUUAGGGAUUUAGCCAGGACACCGAGGUUGACACCCCUACUCUUACGAUAAGUGCCAUAGGAUCUUUAGUGACCACAGAGAGUCAGGACACGCUUUUAAUGUCCCAUCCAAAAGACGGUACCCAAAACCAGGCAAUGUCCCCAAUGACUGCCCUGGGGCAUUGGAUGUACAGUGAAUUCAGAAAGUAUUCAGACCCCUUGACUUUUCCCACAUUUUGUUAAGUUACAGUCUUAUUCUAAAAUGUAUUAAAUUGUUUUUUUCCCCUCAUCAAUCUAAGCAAAAUACUCAAUCAUGACAAAGCAAAUAUCACCUUUACAUAAGUAUUCAGACCUUAAUGACAGCAAAUAUCACAUUUACAUAAGUAUUCAGACCCUUUACUCAGUACUUUGUUGGUAGCGAUUACAGCCUACAAUCUUCUUGGGUAUGACGCUACAAGCUUGGAACAUCUGUAUUUGGGGAGUUUCUCCCAUUCAUCCCUGCAGAUCCUCUCAAUCUCUGUCAGGUUGGAUGGGGGAGUGUCGCUGCACAGCUAUUUUCAGGUCUCUCCAGAGAUGUUAGAUUGGGUUCAAAACCUGGCUCUGGCGAUCCACUCAAUGAUAUUCAGAGACUUGUCCUGAAGCAACUCAUGCAUUGUCUUGUCUGUGUGCUUAGGUUUGUUGUCCUGUUGGAAGGUGAACCGUAGUCACAGUCUGAGGUCCUGAGCUCUCUGAAGCAGGUUUUCACCAAGGAUUUCUCUGUACUUUGCUCCGUUCAUCUUUCCCUCAAUACUGACUAAUCUCUCAUUCCCUGCCGCUGAAAGACAUCCCCACAGGAUGAUGCUGCCACCACCAUGCUUCACCGUAGGGAUGGUGCCAGGUUUCCUCCAGACGUGAUGCUUGUCAUUCAGGCCAAAGAGUUCAAUCUUGGUUUCAUCAGACCAGAGAAUCUUGUUUCUUAUGGACUAAGAGUCCUUUAGGUGCCUUUUUGCAAACUCCAAGCGGGCUGUGAUGUGCCUUACUGAGUGAGGAGUGGCUUCUGUCUGGCCACUCUACCAUAAAUUCCUGAUUGGUGGAGUGCUGUAGAGAUGGGUGUCCUUCUGGAAGGGUCUCCCAUUUCCACAGACGAACUCUGGAGCGGUGUCAGAGUGACCAUCGGGUUCUUGGUCACCUCCCUGACCAAGGCCCUUCUACCCCAAUUGCUCCGUUUGGCUGGGAGGCCAGCUCUAGGAAGAGUAUUGAUGGUUCCAAAUUCUUCCAUUUAAGAAUGAUGGAGGCCACUGUGUUAUUGGGGACCUUCAAUGCUAGAGAAAAAUGGUAUCCUUUCCCAGAUCUGUGCCUCGACACACUCCCGUGUCGGAGCUCUAUGGACAAUUCCAUCGACAUCAUGGCUUGGUUUUUGCUCUAAAGUGCAGUGUCAACUGUGGGACUUUAUAUAGACAGGUGUGUGCCUUUCCAAAUCAUGUCCAAUCAAUUGAAUUUACCACAGAUGAAUUCCAAUCAAGUUGUAGAAACAUCUCAAGGAUGAUCAAUGGAAACCGGAUGCACCGGAGCUCAAUUUCGAGUCUCAUAGCAAAGGGUCUGGAUACUUAUGUAAAUAAGGUUUCUUUUUUUACAUUUGCAAACAUUUCUGCUUUGCUUUGUCAUUAUGGGGUAUUGUGUGUAGAUUGAUCAGGAAUACAAUUAAUUUAAUUCAUUUUAGAAUAAGGCUGUAACAUAACAAAAUGUGGAAAAAGUCAAGUGAUCUGAAUACUUUCCGAAUGCACUGUAUCUAUAUUUUUUAGACCAGAGUUCCCGCAGCAUCUGGUCUCCCAUCCAAGGACCAACCCUGCUUCGCUGCAGAGGCAAGCCAGCAGUGGGAUAUAGGGUGGUGAACUGCUGCCUAAAAUAGAGCAUUUACAUUACAUUUAAGUCAUUUAGCAGACGCUUUUAUCCAGAGGGAGAUACACAAAUUAAUACAUCCCAUAUGAAACGUAACAUACCAUACUAAAUGGAGUGUAUCGGAUUUAAGUAUAGAAUAAUACGAAAUGCUCUGAGACCGGCUCGAUACACUCUACACUCAGUAGGCCUAAACAGUUUUCCAGUGGUCCAACCAUUUUAUGCAAGUAAAGUACAUGUCGGUUAAAAAAAAUGUCACGCCCGGCCUGAUGGAAACGGAACAUUUAUCGGUAAACUUUCCAAAUGUCGACAAAACAAAAUACUCUAAUCAAGGUGGGAUAUUUUUGUGUCGGUAAAAUCAAUUACGUGAGAAAUGCCGGUGGUAAUGGUAUUAGGCCCAAAUAUUUCUAUAUCAUAUCGAAGUAAACUUGGAGCCACGCGAUGAUAUGUUGUGUGGUCCUUCCUACGAGUCGGGAAAACAUGCAGUUUAGUAGGAUACAUAUUAAUUUAUGAUUUUACAAUAUUCGCAUUCCAAUUGGAUUGAAACCUAGCUAGUGAUUCCAAAAAUAGAUACAUGAUUAGUCGGUCUUUACAAUGCCAUUUAUAAAAUAUGAAAUGUUUAACUUUUUUUUUAAAUAUUCAAAUUAAGGUACAUUUGCAGAUAAUUCAUUCAUAUUUAACUCGCAAGGUUGAUGACCUGGCUAAAAGUUCAUUGAAAGCGCAACAUCUAGGUUAACUUCAAAAGCUAAAUAGCGUGCUACUACGCCAUGGACUUCACGGGAAUUGAAUAAUAAACAACAAAAAUAAAUGUCGGAAUAAAUGACAGAAAAUUGUCUGAGUUAGAGAUCCGGAGUCCAUUCGUGGUAACACCGUGGCUAUGUCUACGAUACGGUGGCAGUGGCACAGAGUGAACUUAAGUUUGCUUUAUAAAUGCUGUGGUAUUUCUUCAAAACCAUUCACGUUUUGUGGCACUCACUUACUGUGAAGAGUCCCAUCGAAAGCCUCACUAGUUAUCCAAAAAAGACUGCUUCUUCUGAAAUAAUCGCGGCCAUGGUGCCUUUCAACUGGUCCCUAUCAGUACUUGCAACAAUAACCGUGGAAAUGCUUGUGUAACGUAGUAGACUGGCCACACACAUACUUACUUAUUAUUAAGGAAGCUUCUUAUAAAAAAAAUAGUAAUAUUAUCCUGCCAACCACUAUAUGAAGACGUUUUUAAAAAACGAAUUAAAAUUGUAAUGACCACCCAGAAACAGUGUUGCAUAUUUUUGGCAUUGUUUUCAUGUAAGGAAUCUGGCAGACAUCAGUAGAUUUAUAAUUGAACACAUUUAUGAAGAUUGUACACUAUUAUGGAGAUGUGCUGCUUGGAUUCUUAACUUAUGAUAAAAUUGUUUCAACUAA